Molecule: non-coding RNA, 108 nt
Filed under: Fragilariopsis kerguelensis
Lineage: Eukaryota; Bacillariophyta; Bacillariophyceae; Bacillariales; Bacillariaceae
Source: RNAcentral
CAAAGAGAGGAUACGGACGACGAUGCUGUCCUUUUUUUCUUCCUUCUUUGUGUAUCUCUAAGAACAAGCACGUCUUCGGUGGUUGUUGUUGUUGUCGUCGAUGCCGGG